Molecule: ribosomal RNA, 389 nt
Filed under: uncultured bacterium
Lineage: Bacteria
Description: bacterial SSU rRNA
Rfam family: Bacterial small subunit ribosomal RNA
Source: RNAcentral
UCGGGAAUUUUGGGCAAUGGGCGAAAGCCUGACCCAGCAACGCCGCGUGAAGGAUGAAGUAUUUCGGUAUGUAAACUUCGAAAGAAUAGGAAGAAUAAAUGACGGUACUAUUUAUAAGGUCCGGCUAACUACGUGCCAGCAGCCGCGGUAAUACGUAGGGACCAAGCGUUGUUCGGAUUUACUGGGCGUAAAGGGCGCGUAGGCGGCAAUUCAAGUCAUCUGUGAAAUCUCCGGGCUUAACUCGGAACGGUCAGAUGAUACUGCUUUGCUAGAGUGCAGAAGGGGCAAUCGGAAUUCUUGGUGUAGCGGCGAAAUGCGUAGAUAUCAAGAGGAACACCUGAGGUGAAGACGGGUUGCUGGGCUGACACUGACGCUGAGGCGCGAAAGCC